RNAcentral lists this long non-coding RNA (1140 nucleotides) under Calidris pugnax (ruff). RNAcentral's name for it is "lncRNA (ENSCPUG00000010755.1)". Lineage: Eukaryota; Metazoa; Chordata; Aves; Charadriiformes; Scolopacidae. The record is from RNAcentral.
AUGGUCCAUACUGGUCUGUACUGGUUCUUACUGGCCCAUAUGGUCCAUACUGGUUUGUACUGGUCCAUGUGGCCCGUACUGGUUCUUACUGGUUUGUACUGGUCCAUAUGGUCCGUACUGGUUCUUACUGGUCCACAUGGUCCAUACUGGUUCUUACUGGUCCAUGUGGUCCGUACUGGUUCUUACUGGUUUGUACUGGUCCAUAUGGUCCGUACUGGUUCUUACUGGUCCACAUGGUCCAUACUGGUUCUUACUGGUCCAUGUGGUCCGUACUGGUUCUUACUGGUUUGUACUGGUCCAUAUGGUCCGUACUGGUUCUUAGUGGCCCAUAUGGUCCAUACUGGUUCUUACUGGUCUGUACUGGUUCUUACUGGUCUGUACUGGUUCUUACUGGUCCGUACUGGUUCUUUCUGGCCCACAUGGUCCAUAGUGGUUUUUACUGGUCCAUAUGAUCCAUACUGGUUCGUACUGGUUCUUACUGGUCUGUACUGGUCCACAUGGUCCGUACUGGUUCUUACUGGUCCAUGUGGUCCGUACUGGUUCUUACUGGUUUGUACUGGUCCAUAUGGUCCGUACUGGUUCUUACUGGUCCAUGUGGUCCAUACUGGUUCUUACUGGUUUGUACUGGUCCACAUGGUCUGUACUGGUUCUUACUGGUUUGUACUGGCCCAUAUGGUCCAUACUGGUUUUUACUGGUCCACAUGGUCCAUACUGGUUCUUCCUGGUUCUUCCUGGUUGGUACUGGUCGGUACUGGUCGGUACUGGUCGGUACUGGUCGGUACUGGUCGGUACUGGUGCGCUCAGGAGCUGGGGGCGUCCCGGUCCCCCCCCUGCACCAGCAGCACCGGCCCCAGCCCCUCGGUCAGAACCUCCAGCAGCUCCAGGUCUGACCCACGUCAAGGCCUCUGCCCCACGGCGCGACCCACACCCUGCCCCACACCCCAUCCCUGCCCCACACCCUGCCCCACACCCUGCCCCACGGCCUGACCCACAGCGUGACCCACGUCAAGGCCUCUGCCCCACGGCGCGACCCACACCCUGCCCCACGGCCUGACCCACAGCGUGACCCACGUCAAGGCCUCUGCCCCACGGCGCGACCCACACCCUGCCCCACACCCCAUCCCUGCCCCACGGCUGCCC